AACCUCAUUUCUUCCUCUGCUAAC
RNAcentral lists this small nuclear RNA (24 nucleotides) under Arabidopsis thaliana (thale cress). RNAcentral's name for it is "snRNA_15949". The record is from RNAcentral. Lineage: Eukaryota; Viridiplantae; Streptophyta; Magnoliopsida; Brassicales; Brassicaceae.